RNAcentral lists this unclassified non-coding RNA (336 nucleotides) under soil metagenome. RNAcentral describes it as "partial contains 5.8S ribosomal RNA, internal transcribed spacer 2, and large subunit ribosomal RNA". The stretch from base 1 to 120 matches the Rfam family "5.8S ribosomal RNA", at positions 35 to 154 of the family's 154-position model. The record is from RNAcentral.
GAUGAAGAACGCAGCGAAAUGCGAUAAGUAAUGUGAAUUGCAGAAUUCAGUGAAUCAUCGAAUCUUUGAGCGCACAUUGCGCCCGCCAGUAUUCUGGCGGGCAUGCCUGUUCGAGCGUCAUUUCAACCAUCAAGCCCCCGGCUUGUGUUGGGGACCUGCGGCUGCCGCAGGCCCUGAAAAGCAGUGGCGGGCUCGCUGUCACACCGAGCGUAGUAGAUUUCAUCUCGCUCAGGGCGUGCUGCGGGUUCCGGCCGUUAAACCACCUUCAUAACCCAAGGUUGACCUCGGAUCAGGUAGGAAGACCCGCUGAACUUAAGCAUAUCAAUAAGCGGAGGA